UGUUCCUUACGGUCUCACAUCGUCUAGCCUACUAAACUGUUCCUUACGGUCUCACAUCGUCUAGCCUACUAAACUGUUCCUUACUGUCUCACAUCGUCUAGCCUACUAAACUGUUCCUUACGGUCUCACAUCGUCUAGCCUACUAAACUGUUCCUUCCUGUCUCACAUCGUCUAGCCUACUAAACUGUUCCUUCCUGUCUCACAUCGUCUAGCCUACUAAACUGUUCCUUACUGUCUCACAUCGUCUAGCCUACUAAACUGUUCCUUACUGUCUCACAUCGUCUAGUCUACUAAACUGUUCCUUACUGUCUCACAUCGUCUGGUCUACUAAACUGUUCCUUACGGUCUCACAUCGUCUAGCCUACUAAACUGUUCCUUACGGUCUCACAUCGUCUAGCCUACUAAACUGUUCCUUACGGUCUCACAUCGUCUAGCCUACUAAACUGUUCCUUACUGUCUCACAUCGUCUAGUCUACUAAACUGUUCCUUUCGGUCUCACAUCGUCUAGUCUACUAAACUGUUCCUUAGUGUCUCACAUCGUCUAGCCUACUAAACUGUUCCUUACUGUCUCACAUCGUCUAGCCUACUAAACUGUUCCUUACUGUCUCACAUCGUCUAGCCUACUAAACUGUUCCUUAGUGUCUCACAUCGUCUAGCCUACUAAACUGUUCUUUACUGUCUCACAUCGUCUAGUCCACUAAACUGUUCUUUACUGUCUCACAUCGUCUAGUCCACUAAACUGUUCCUUACUGUCUCACAUCGUCUAGCCUACUAAACUGUUCCUUACUGUCUCACAUCGUCUAGCCUACUAAACUGUUCCUUACUGUCUCACAUCGUCUAGCCUACUAAACUGUUCCUUAGUGUCUAGCCUACUAAACUGUUCCUUAGUGUCUCACAUGUCUCACUGGCAGGGUAGCCUAGUGGUUAGAGUGUACAGGAGGCAGGUAGCCUAGUGGUUAGAGUCUAGAGGAGGCAGGUAGCCCAGUGGUUAGAGUGUAGAGGAGGCAGGUAGCCUAGUGGUUAGAGGCGGCAGUGUAGCCUAGUGGUUCGAGUGUAGAGGUGGCAGGGUAGCCUAGUGGUUCGAGUGUAGAGGUGGCAGGGUAGCCUAGUGGUUAGAGUGUAGAGGUGGCAGGGUAGCCUAGUGGUUAGAGUGUAGAGGUGGCAGGGUAGCCUAGUGGUUAGAGUGUAGAGGUGGCAGGGUAGCCUAGUGGUUAGAGUGUAGAGGUGGCAGGGUAGCCUAGUGGUUAGAGUGUAGAGGUGGCAGGGUAGCCUAGUGGUUAGAGUGUAGAGGUGGCAGGGUAGCCUAGUGGUUAGAGUGUAGAGGUGGCAGGGUAGCCUAGUGGUUAGAGUGUAGAUGCGGCAGGGUAGCCUAGUGGUUAGAGUGUAGAUGCGGCAGGGUAGCCUAGUGGUUAGAGUGUAGAGGUGGCAGGGUAGCCUAGUGGUUAGAGUGUAGAGGUGGCAGGGUAGCCUAGUGGUUAGAGUGUAGAGGUGGCAGGGUAGCCUAGUGUUUAGAGUGUAGAGGCGGCAGGGUAGCCUAGUGGUUAGAGUGUAGAGGCGGCAGGGUAGCCUAGUGGUUAGAGUGUAGAUGCGGCAGGGUAGCCUAGUGGUUAGAGUGUAGAGGUGGCAGGGUAGCCUAGUGGUUAGAGUGUAGAGGUGGCAGGGUAGCCUAGUGGUUAGAGUGUAGAGGUGGCAGGGUAGCCUAGUGGUUAGAGUGUAGAGGUGGCAGGGUAGCCUAGUGGUUAGAGUGUAGAGGUGGCAGGGUAGCCUAGUGGUUAGAGUGUAGAGGUGGCAGGGUAGCCUAGUGGUUAGAGUGUAGAGGUGGCAGGGUAGCCUAGUGGUUAGAGUGUAGAGGUGGCAGGGUAGCCUAGUGGUUAGAGUGUAGAGGUGGCAGGGUAGCCUAGUUUUAGAGUGUAGAGGCGGCCGGGUAUCCUAGUGGUUAGAGUGUAGAGGCCCAGGGUAGCCUAGUGGUUAGAGUGUAGAUGCGGCAGGGUAGCCUAGUGGUUAGAGUGUAGAGGCGGCAGGGUAGCCCAGUGGUUAGAGUGUAGAGGCGGCAGGGUAGCCCAGUGGUUAGAGUGUAGAGGCGGCAGGGUAGCCCAGUGGUUAGAGUGUAGAGGCGGCAGGGUAGCCCAGUGGUUCGAGUGUAGAGGCGGCAGGGUAGCCCAGUGGUUCGAGUGUAGAGGCGGCAGGGUAGCCCAGUGGUUAGAGUGUAGAGGCGGCAGGGUAGCCUAGUGGUUAGAGUGUAGAGGCGGCAGGGUAGCCUAGUGGUUAGAGUGUAGAGGCGGCAGGGUAGCCUAGUGGUUAGAGUGUAGAGGCGGCAGGGUAGCCUAGUGGUUAGAGUGUAGAGGCGGCAGGGUAGCCUAGUGGUUAGAGUGUAGAGGCGGCAGGGUAGCCUAGUGGUUAGAGUGUAGAGGUGGCAGGGUAGCCUAGUGGUUGGAGUGUAGAGGCGGCAGGGUAGCCUAGUGGUUAGAGUGUAGAGGCGGCAGGGUAGCCUAGUGGUUAGAGUGUUAGAGUUCAAACCCCCGAGCUGACAAGGUACAAAUCUGUCGUUCUGCCCCUGAACAGGCAGUUAACCCACUGUUCCUAGGCCGUCAUUGAAAAUAAGAAUUUGUUCUUAACUGACUUGCAGUUAAAUAAAGGUAAAAUUAAAACAAAACAUGGACAACCCAUUUUAAAACACUGUUCAAAUUGAUGCAACCGCAGAACAAGGCCAAAUUCAUGAGAAGUUGGAAGGAUUAGAAAAAGCUAUAAAGGACCAUCAAAAUCCAUUGGACUCCCCAAUGACUGAGCAGGAGCUCUGUAAGAUACUUCAGGCCCUUAAAUGUAAAACAAAAAGGUUGCAGACCUGAUGGAAUCCGAAAUGAGCAAAAUGUCAAUUGAUCCAGAUCUGUCAAUUUGUACAAAAUAUAUAGAGUACUGCACACACAACAAUUACUGAGGUUUACAUUUAUUUAUGCUGAGUAGUUAUAUCUGGAGUAUUUCUCCUGUCUUAUCCAGUGUCCUGUGUGAAUUUAAGUAUGCUCUCUCUAAUUCUCUCUUUCUUUCUCUCUCUCUCUCUUGGGGGACCUGAGCCCUUGGGCUACCUGGCAUGAUGAGUCCUUGCUGUCCCUAGUCCACCUGGCCGUGCUGCUGCUCCAGUUUCAACUGUUCUGCCUGCGGCUAUGGAACCCUGACCUGUUCACCGAACGUGCUACCUGUCCCAGACCUGCUGUUUUCAACUCUCUGGAGACAGCAGGAGCGGUAGAGAUACUCUCAAUGAUCGGCUAUGAAAAGCCAACUGACAUUUACUCCUGAGGUGCUGACCUGUUGCACCCUCAACAACUACUGUGAUUAUUAUUAUUUGACCCUGCUGGUCAUCUAUGAACAUUUGAACAUCUUGGCCAUGUUCUGUUAUAAUCUCCACCCGGCACAGCCAGAAGAGGACUGGCCACCCCACAUAGCCUGGUUCCUCUCUAGGUUUCUUCCUAGCUUCUGGCAUUUCUAGUGCUUCUACACCUGCAUUGCUUGCUGUUUGGGGUUUUAGGCUGGGUUUCUGUACAGCACUUUGAGAUAUCAGCUGAUGUAAGAAGGGCUUUAUAAAUACAUUUGAUUAAUUGAUUAACUAUAUAGACUACUGCACGCAGUACAAUUACUUAGGUUGAUAUAUAGACUACUGUACACAGAGCGAGAGAGAAGGACGGACAAAGAGAGAGAGAAGGAAGGACAAAGAGAGAGACACUUACUAGUCUGAGGCCAAACCACACAACUAACAAUAUUGGACACUUUCUGGAACACAAAGCCUUCAGUAUCUCAUCCUGGAAUAUCCAAGGCCUGAGGUCAUAGAGGAGAUGGACCCACUCGUUGCCCUCUCGGUUACAGAGAGCUGGUAGUCCCAUCCACCAUACUACCAGGUGUGUGGUAUAGAGGAGACGGACCCACUCGUUGCCCUCUAGGUUACAGAGAGCUGGUAGUCCCAUCCAACCAUACUACCAGGUGUGUGGUAUAGAGGAGACGGACCCACUCGUUGCCCUCUAGGUUACAGAGAGCUGGUAGUCCCAUCCACCAUACUACCAGGCAUGAAAUAGGGAAGGGCUAAUUUGGUAUAGAGCAGACCCACUCUAUUUAAUUAAUCAAAGAGGAACAUUUGGCUAGAAAUUCAAAAGGAAAUAAUCUCAACAGAGAAAUGUCCUGCUGUGUGCUACCUAUAUCCCCCACUAGAAUCCCUUAUAUCCCCCACUAGAAUCCCCUAUAUCCCCCCACUAGAAUCCCCUAUAUCCCCCCACUAGAAUCCCCUA
Long non-coding RNA from Oncorhynchus keta (chum salmon), 4271 nucleotides. RefSeq lists it as uncharacterized. The transcript has 3 exons. Lineage: Eukaryota; Metazoa; Chordata; Actinopteri; Salmoniformes; Salmonidae. The record is from RefSeq and is a predicted model, not a curated record.